Molecule: microRNA, 22 nt
Filed under: Drosophila ananassae
Lineage: Eukaryota; Metazoa; Arthropoda; Insecta; Diptera; Drosophilidae
Description: Dan-Novel-2_5p* (star (passenger))
Source: RNAcentral
AGAUUCAACCUGCAAUUUUUCC